RNAcentral lists this ribosomal RNA (484 nucleotides) under uncultured bacterium. RNAcentral's name for it is "partial 16S ribosomal RNA". It matches the Rfam family "Bacterial small subunit ribosomal RNA", at positions 28 to 523 of the family's 1533-position model. The record is from RNAcentral.
GACGAACGCUGGCGGCGUGCUUAACACAUGCAAGUCGAACGAUGAUGCUGGAGCUUGCUCCAGUUGAUUAGUGGCGAACGGGUGAGUAACACGUGAGCAAUCUGCCCUUGACUCUGGGAUAACUGCGGGAAACUGUAGCUAAUACCGGAUACUUUCACCGGAAGGCAUCUUCUGGUGAUGAAAGAAUUUCGGUCAGGGAUGAGCUCGCGGCCUAUCAGCUUGUUGGUGAGGUAACGGCUCACCAAGGCGACGACGGGUAACCGGCCUGAGAGGGUGACCGGUCACACUGGGACUGAGACACGGCCCAGACUCCUACGGGAGGCAGCAGUGGGGAAUAUUGCACAAUGGGCGCAAGCCUGAAGCAGCAACGCCGCGUGAGGGAUGAAGGCCUUCGGGUUGUAAACCUCUUUUAGCAGGGAAGAAGCGAAAGUGACGGUACCUGCGGAAAAAGCACCGGCUAACUACGUGCCAGCAGCCGCCGCGG